CAUAAGUUAAAGAGGUGUUCUUUUCUGUUCUACAGUAAUUUGGAGAUGUUACAUUUUAAUAUAUUUCAGCAUAUGUUUUUCAUCAAAUGAAAUAAAAACUUUUUCCUUCUGUAAUCUAUUACAAAUCGAACUAUUUUAUUAAAAAAAUACUUUGAAUUCAAGAUAUCAAAGAAAUUGAUUACCUUCUAGAUUAUUAAAUCCCAAAUAUAAUUCUCUGAGUUGUGUCAGAUUUCCAAUACUUCUUGGAAUGAUCCCCGUCAAUUGAUUCAAGGACAAGGACAAAAUUUUAAGGUUGCUGCACUUGCCCAUACUUGACGGAAUGUUACCAGAUAACUCAUUUCUAUCUAAGUAAAGCCCUUCAAGCUUGGGAAGAUGUUGACACAUAUCAUUAUGAAAACUACCUGAUAGGCUAUUGUUGGAGAGAACAAUGGUCUUCAGAGAAGAAAUGUUGAAGAUCGAAGUUGGAAUCUGACUUGUAAGGCCUUUAAUUGCUUGAAUAUUAAGCAAUUCCAAACCAUGAAGAUUACCGAUUUCCUCAGGAAUUUGACCUGCACACAUAGUCGAAAAAUCAAGGUGUCAAACUACUUAUUUUGUUAGCAUAAGUCAAAGAGGUUUUCUUUUCUGUUCUACAAUAAUUUGGAGAUGUUACAUUUUAAUAUAUUUCAGAAUAUGUUUUUCAUCAAAUGAAAUAAAAACUUUUUCCUUCUGUAAUCUAUUACAAAUCAAACUAUUUUAUUAAAAAAAUACUUUGAAUUCAAGAUAUCAAAGAAAUUGAUUACCUUCUAGAUUAUUAAAUCCCAAAUAUAAUUCUCUGAGUUGUGUUAGAUUUCCAAUACUUCUUGGAAUGAUCCCCGUCAAUUGAUUCAAGGACAAGGACAAAAUUUUAAGGUUGCUGCACUUGCCCAUACUUGACGGAAUGUUACCAGAUAACUCAUUUCUAUCCAAGUAAAGCCCUUCAAGCUUGGGAAGAUGUUGACACAUAUCAUUAUGAAAACUACCUGAUAGGCUAUUGUUGGAGAGAACAAUGGUCUUCAGAGAAGAAAUGUUGAAGAUCGAAGUUGGAAUCUGACUUGUAAGGCCUUUAAUUGCUUGAAUAUUAAGCAAUUCCAAACCAUGAAGAUUACCGAUUUCCUCAGGAAUUUGACCUGCACACAUAGUCGAAAAAUCAAGGUGUCAAACUACUUAUUUUGUUAGCAUAAGUCAAAGAGGUUUUCUUUUCUGUUCUACAAUAAUUUGGAGAUGUUACAUUUUAAUAUAUUUCAGAAUAUGUUUUUCAUCAAAUGAAAUAAAAACUUUUUCCUUCUGUAAUCUAUUACAAAUCAAACUAUUUUAUUAAAAAAAUACUUUGAAUUCAAGAUAUCAAAGAAAUUGAUUACCUUCUAGAUUAUUAAAUCCCAAAUAUAAUUCUCUGAGUUGUGUUAGAUUUCCAAUACUUCUUGGAAUGAUCCCCGUCAAUUGAUUCAAGGACAAGGACAAAAUUUUAAGGUUGCUGCACUUGCCCAUACUUGACGGAAUGUUACCAGAUAACUCAUUUCUAUCCAAGUAAAGCCCUUCAAGCUUGGGAAGAUGUUGACACAUAUCAUUAUGAAAACUACCUGAUAGGCUAUUGUUGGAGAGAACAAUGGUCUUCAGAG
This 1634-nucleotide long non-coding RNA is filed under the name Gossypium barbadense (sea-island cotton). RNAcentral's name for it is "long non-coding RNA (GBAR_LNC016651)". The record is from RNAcentral. Lineage: Eukaryota; Viridiplantae; Streptophyta; Magnoliopsida; Malvales; Malvaceae.